GCGAACGGACGAGAAGCUUGCUUCUCUGAUGUUAGCGGCGGACGGGUGAGUAACACGUGGAUAACCUACCUAUAAGACUGGGAUAACUUCGGGAAACCGGAGCUAAUACCGGAUAAUAUUUUGAACCGCAUGGUUCAAAAGUGAAAGACGGUCUUGCUGUCACUUAUAGAUGGAUCCGCGCUGCAUUAGCUAGUUGGUAAGGUAACGGCUUACCAAGGCAACGAUGCAUAGCCGACCUGAGAGGGUGAUCGGCCACACUGGAACUGAGACACGGUCCAGACUCCUACGGGAGGCAGCAGUAGGGAAUCUUCCGCAAUGGGCGAAAGCCUGACGGAGCAACGCCGCGUGAGUGAUGAAGGUCUUCGGAUCGUAAAACUCUGUUAUUAGGGAAGAACAUAUGUGUAAGUAACUGUGCACAUCUUGACGGUACCUAAUCAGAAAGCCACGGCUAACUACGUGCCAGCAGCCGCGGUAAUACGUAGGUGGCAAGCGUUAUCCGGAAUUAUUGGGCGUAAAGCGCGCGUAGGCGGUUUUUUAAGUCUGAUGUGAAAGCCCACGGCUCAACCGUGGAGGGUCAUUGGAAACUGGAAAACUUGAGUGCAGAAGAGGAAAGUGGAAUUCCAUGUGUAGCGGUGAAAUGCGCAGAGAUAUGGAGGAACACCAGUGGCGAAGGCGACUUUCUGGUCUGUAACUGACGCUGAUGUGCGAAAGCGUGGGGAUCAAACAGGAUUAGAUACCCUGGUAGUCCACGCCGUA
This 756-nucleotide ribosomal RNA is filed under the name Staphylococcus aureus. RNAcentral describes it as "bacterial SSU rRNA". It matches the Rfam family "Bacterial small subunit ribosomal RNA", at positions 66 to 804 of the family's 1533-position model. Lineage: Bacteria; Bacillati; Bacillota; Bacilli; Caryophanales; Staphylococcaceae. The record is from RNAcentral.